Molecule: ribosomal RNA, 497 nt
Filed under: uncultured bacterium
Lineage: Bacteria
Description: partial 16S ribosomal RNA
Rfam family: Bacterial small subunit ribosomal RNA
Source: RNAcentral
GAUGAACGCUGGCGGCGUGCCUAAUACAUGCAAGUCGAGCGAACGGACGAUUCUCUUUCUUUUCUUAUUUUUGCGGCUGUCGUGUGUUUCACUCGUUUAUAACCUACCUAUUUUUCUUGUAUAACUUCGUGAAACCGUCUCUAAUACCGGAUAAUAUUUUGAACCUCAUUGUUCAUUAGUUCAUUACGGUCUUUCUGUCACUUCUCGAUGUUUCCGCGCUGCAUUAGCUAGUUGGUAAGGUAACGGCUUACCAAGGCAACGAUGCAUAGCCGACAUGAGAGGGUGAUCGGCCACACUGGAACUGAGACACGGACAAGAGGACUACGGGAGGCAGCAGAAGGGAAUAUGACGCAAGGGGCGAAAGCAUGACGGAGCAAAGCCGCGUGAGAGAAGAAGGACUUGGGAUCGUAAAAAGAUGUUAUUAGGGAAGAAAAUAAGUGUAAGAAAAUGAGAACAGAAUGACGGUAACAAAAAAGAAAGCAACGGCUAACUACGUG